Molecule: long non-coding RNA, 2785 nt
Filed under: Salvia miltiorrhiza (redroot sage)
Lineage: Eukaryota; Viridiplantae; Streptophyta; Magnoliopsida; Lamiales; Lamiaceae
Description: long non-coding RNA (SMIL_LNC011224)
Source: RNAcentral
GAAGAGCAGAAUGGUAAUAUCAAAAUCCACGAAAAGGGCAUGUGAACCAUGCACGCCAUAUAAAACCCAAAGGUGGUGUGGUAGCUUCCCCUUCAUUAUCGCUUCAUCCUCUUCUUGCUUUCUAACAAAGUUUAUAUAUACGAGAAUUGAAUUGAAUUGAAGCUGCUCCAAUAUCAAUUAUCAUCAUGACUAAUAACUAUUUAUUAAUUCCGAUCUUCAUCUUCAUCCUCCUUCAACGUCCUGUCCUUGGGAGUUGGGAUUUGUUGAGCGAAUUAUCCGGCAGGGAAGAGUUGGUGCAGUGGGCUGGUUAUGGCGAAGAUAAGCUCUCCACCGUCGUCAUCGCCGGCACUAUUCUUUGCAACGCCGCCGACUUACCUUCGAUCAAUACUCAUCCUGUCUCAGGUGAUUAAGUUUAUUAUUACAUGUGCCUAUUUCUAUAUUGUUGCGCAAUUUUCUGCAAUAAUAAUAAUCAAAUUAAUUCCGCAAUCUAGCUCUGAUGUUGAAUUUGACAAGAGAGUUAUUCGUUGCGGAAAUUUAUUUUUACUUAGCUAGUAGCCUUAAAGAAAAGGUUUUGUUGGUUGAUAUUACUAUAUAUUAUAUGCACCUGCAACUUUCAUGUCUGGUAAUCAGAUACACUACAAAGUAUAAAGUGCGUCUCUCCAACUGAUCCGCUUGCUGUAAGGAGUAGGAGAAGUCCCUUUUUUAAAAAUAUAAAUCCCAUUUUUAGUUUUCUAUUUGUUUAUUAUGAUUUAUGAAUUAGUUAAAACCUCAAGCCAAAAUAUGCAUGGCACCACAAACCUCAAACACAGAUACGCUUUCCUUCAUUUCUUAUACUAAUCUCUCUCAUCAAUCCACCACAAUUUUCCAAGCUUGAUCAUUCUACCACAAUAUAUGCUGCAUAUGUUUAAUUAAUUAUUUUUAUAUCUUAUUUAUAUAUNUAUUAAAGUUCAUAUAUUUUAAUAAAAAAAUUGAAAAUUCAUGUUAAAAAUUUGAAAUUAGAGAAAAAAUGAUUAUUUAAACAAUAAUAUAGAUAACAUAAUUUUAAGGCUCCAUCUUGGAUCAAUAAAAGCUUCAACAAGAACAUUAUAUGAUCAAUUACUUAUGUUUCAAAAAAACAAUGAACUGAAAUGGUAAAAUGGCCCAUGUGCCUAAAAUAGAUUUUCUUGAUAAUAAUCCUAUUUUUUAGUAUUCUAAUCCUAUUUUUUAGUGUUCUAAGGGUUCGUUUUUAAAUGAAAAAGUGCGGAAAAUAUUAUUUUUUAAUUUUUCUAUUUUUCACUAUUUCACAUGUUUUUUAACAUGAAUAAUUUUUACUUUAAAAGGAUAAUUAUUUUUUGUGGGGGGGGGGGGAUAGCCCGUUUUUCUUCCUUUUCAUUUCAAUUCAUGAUAAUAUUAUAAUAAGAUAUUGGUGUGAUGAUUUUUUUUUUCCAAAUGAUAAUUUUUUAUCAUCUUUUCCUAUUCAUUAUUUUUUUAUGAUAAAUUAUUAAUUAAAGAAAACACAUCCUAAUUAGGAAAAGAAAAAAAUAUGAAGGAGACAAAACUAAACAGAGUCGCUUAGCAAGAGACAACCUUGUUGGUGCAUAUCGUAAAUGGAGUCACUCAAAUGGAAAAAGGGAGUAGAUCACUAACUCUAUCAUCCAAUACCGUAGUCCUAGAAGAUGAUGCAUGAUCAGCUCUCACUUUUGUAAUUCAUGAAUAAAAAAUUAUUAAUUAUAUUUAAGUUAGUUAAUAAUAAAAGAUAUAUUAAAAUUUUAAUUGAUUGAUGUAUAUAAUUGUAAUGGGAGAAGCCAAAUUUCGUAUGGAUUUUGCAUAUAAAUAUAUAGUUAGGGAUGGUUUGACAAAUUGAGUAAAGUUGUAAUGCUAGUUUACCGAAGGUGAGAGACGUGGAUCGAUGGGUUCAUACUUCAAAUAUUGAGACUAUAUUAUUAUAAGUAAUUCGUAGGAGGUAAGAUUAGGCUACCUACUAAAACAGUUAGCCUUCCAUUUCCUAACUUCCAACUUUUUUCUCUAUCUAUACCAUUUCGUAAAACCCACAAGAAAAAAACAUUUUUUUUUUUAAGUUGACAAAACCUUUUUACCUUAGACUAGUAUUGAAUUGACUAGUACACGCCUUCUGAAAGAACCAAUACUUCCACCUUGAUUGCAUUUGAAGUAAAAAAAAAAUUGAAGAUACAAUAGUAAUAAGAGGUGGUUGAAAUUUUUCUUGACCCAGUUAAUUAAUAAAUAAAUUAUUCUCCAUAUAUUUAGAAACUCAUUAUCAAUAUUAAUUAGCAAGUGGAUUGGUUGUGCAAAAUUAAUAAAAAUUGUAUAAUUGAAUUAAUAUAAUGAAAAAAUAUAUAUUAGUAUAAGUUGGGGGGGCAAACAUGAAAUGAGAGUUUGGUGAAGAGCAGAAUGGUAAUAUCAAAAUCCACGAAAAGGGCAUGUGAACCAUGCACGCCAUAUAAAACCCAAAGGUGGUGUGGUAGCUUCCCCUUCAUUAUCGCUUCAUCCUCUUCUUGCUUUCUAACAAAGUUUAUAUAUACGAGAAUUGAAUUGAAUUGAAUUGAAGCUGCUCCAAUAUCAAUUAUCAUCAUGACUAAUUAUUUAUUAAUUCCGAUCUUCAUCUUCAUCCUCCUUCAACGUCGACCUGUCCUUGGGAGUUGGGAUUUGUUGAGCGAAUUAUCCGGCAGGGAAGAGUUGGUGCAGUGGGCUGGUUAUGGCGAAGAUAAGCUCUCCACCGUCGUCAUCACCGGCACUAUUCUUUGCAACGCCGCCGACUUACCUUCGAUCAAUACUCAUCCUGUCUCAG